This 648-nucleotide ribosomal RNA is filed under the name uncultured bacterium. Its description in RNAcentral is "bacterial SSU rRNA". It matches the Rfam family "Bacterial small subunit ribosomal RNA", at positions 71 to 693 of the family's 1533-position model. The record is from RNAcentral.
GAUGGAAGCUUGCUUCUAUCAAUCUUAGUGGCGAACGGGUGAGUAACGCGUAAUCAACCUGCCCUUCAGAGGGGGACAACAGUUGGAAACGACUGCUAAUACCGCAUACGAUCURAYCUCGGCAUCGAGGAUGGAUGAAAGGUGGCCUCUAUUUAUAAGCUAUCACUGAAGGAGGGGAUUGCGUCUGAUUAGCUAGUUGGAGGGGUAACGGCCCACCAAGGCGAUGAUCAGUAGCCGGUCUGAGAGGAUGAACGGCCACAUUGGGACUGAGACACGGCCCAGACUCCUACGGGAGGCAGCAGUGGGGAAUCUUCCGCAAUGGACGAAAGUCUGACGGAGCAACGCCGCGUGAGUGAUGACGGCCUUCGGGUUGUAAAGCUCUGUUAAUCGGGACGAAAGGCCUUCUUGCGAAUAGUUAGAAGGAUUGACGGUACCGGAAUAGAAAGCCACGGCUAACUACGUGCCAGCAGCCGCGGUAAUACGUAGGUGGCAAGCGUUGUCCGGAAUUAUUGGGCGUAAAGCGCGCGCAGGCGGAUUGGUCAGUCUGUCUUAAAAGUUCGGGGCUUAACCCCGUGAUGGGAUGGAAACUGCCAAUCUAGAGUAUCGGAGAGGAAAGUGGAAUUCCUAGUGUAGCGGUGAAAUGCGUAG